Molecule: ribosomal RNA, 435 nt
Filed under: uncultured eukaryote
Lineage: Eukaryota
Description: partial Eukaryotic large subunit ribosomal RNA
Rfam family: Eukaryotic large subunit ribosomal RNA
Source: RNAcentral
AUCAGGUAGGGAUACCCGCUGAACUUAAGCAUAUCAAUAAGCGGAGGAAAAGAAACCAACAGGGAUUGCCCUAGUAACGGCGAGUGAAGCGGCAACAGCUCAAAUUUGAAAUCUGGCCCUUUCAGGGUCCGAGUUGUAAUUUGUAGAGGAUGCUUUUGGGCAGCCACCGGUCUAAGUUCCUUGGAACAGGACGUCAUAGAGGGUGAGAAUCCCGUAUGUGACUGGACAGGCACCCUUUGUAAAGCUCCUUCGACGAGUCGAGUUGUUUGGGAAUGCAGCUCUAAAUGGGAGGUAAAUUUCUUCUAAAGCUAAAUACCGGCCAGAGACCGAUAGCGCACAAGUAGAGUGAUCGAAAGAUGAAAAGCACUUUGGAAAGAGAGUUAAAAAGCACGUGAAAUUGUUGAAAGGGAAGCGCCUAUGACCAGACUUGUCUCG